UGAGAACCAGAAACUACGUGCU
This 22-nucleotide non-coding RNA is filed under the name Mus musculus (house mouse). The record is from RNAcentral. Lineage: Eukaryota; Metazoa; Chordata; Mammalia; Rodentia; Muridae.